Molecule: ribosomal RNA, 287 nt
Filed under: uncultured Acetivibrio sp.
Lineage: Bacteria; Bacillati; Bacillota; Clostridia; Acetivibrionales; Acetivibrionaceae
Description: partial 16S ribosomal RNA
Rfam family: Bacterial small subunit ribosomal RNA
Source: RNAcentral
UGAGGGAUAUUAGGCAAUGGGGGGAAACCCUGACCUAGCAACGCCGCGUGAAGGAUGAAGGUUUUCGGAUUGUAAACUUCUUUGACGAGGGACGAUAAUGACGGUACCUCGAAAACAAGCCACGGCUAACUACGUGCCAGCAGCCGCGGUAAUACGUAGGUGGCGAGCGUUGCCCGGAUUUACUGGGUGUAAAGGGCGUGUAGGCGGAUAAGCAAGUCAGAUGUGAAAUGCAGAGGCUUAACCUCUGAGCUGCAUUUGAAACUGCUGAUCUUGAGUAUCGGAGAGGC